RNAcentral lists this transfer RNA (72 nucleotides) under Kouleothrix aurantiaca. It matches the Rfam family "tRNA". Rfam says of the family: Transfer RNA (tRNA) molecules are approximately 80 nucleotides in length. The record is from Rfam by way of RNAcentral. Lineage: Bacteria; Bacillati; Chloroflexota; Chloroflexia; Chloroflexales; Roseiflexaceae.
GGCCCUGUCGUCUACCGGCCAGGACACCUGCCUCUCACGCAGGCAAAGCGGGUUCGAUUCCCGCCAGGGUCA